GCCCUUAAUAAAGAUAAUAGCCAAAAAAGUUCGUUGCCGCGCGCAGGCGGGAACGAACGUGUUCGGACACGUUACGCGUGUGUCCUUUGGAUCAUAUUUUUGAGUUUUAUCUUCCCCUUCUAAAGAGGAAUCCUUUCUAAUUGUUCACUUAAUCCUUCUCAUCUGGCCGUGUGGUGGGUAAUUAAUUUGUGCCAAUCAAACAAAGAAGAAGAAGAUAAUAGCUAGGUUGUGAUAGCCGGUCGUAACGUUUUUAAAAUAUUUACUCUACUGGAGAAUAAAUUUGAAGAAGCCUGCAAUCUUCGGGUUGGAAAACAUUUAAAUCUUAAUUUUUCUUGCAAUGAUGUUGCCUGAAACCUCAAUGAUGAUCAUAUACUGGCGACAGCAGCAACAAAUGGUGCAGUGGUUGUUUGGAAUUUAAAUAAACAAU
This is a long non-coding RNA of Formica exsecta, 427 nucleotides long. RefSeq lists it as uncharacterized. The record is from RefSeq and is a predicted model, not a curated record. NCBI's taxonomy places the organism in Eukaryota, Metazoa, Arthropoda, Insecta, Hymenoptera, Formicidae. The transcript is spliced from 3 exons.